CUCUCAGGUCCUCAAUACAGCCCUCAAAUGGGCCUGCAAUAUUUUCCAUAUACAAUCAGGUUCCCUUGCUGCUUACCCAGAGCCUGAGAGAAUUAUGAAAACAUGGCAGGUGAAGUGGGGCCAGGGACCCGGAG
Molecule: small nucleolar RNA, 134 nt
Organism: Otolemur garnettii (small-eared galago)
Lineage: Eukaryota; Metazoa; Chordata; Mammalia; Primates; Galagidae
Source: Ensembl